AUGAACGCUGGCGGCAUGCCCUACACAUCCAAGUCGAACGGUACAGGUCUUCGGAUGCUGACGAGUGGCGAACGGGUGAGUAAUACACGGAACGUGCCCGAGAGUGGGGGAUAACGAAGCGAAAGCUUUGCUAAUACCGCAUACGAUCUCAGGAUGAAAGCAGGGGGACCGCAAGGCCUUGCGCUCACGGAGCGGCCGAUGGCAGAUUAGUAGUUGGUGGGAUAAAAGCUUACCAAUGCCGACGAUCUGUAGCUGGUCUGAGAGUGACGACCAGCCACACUGGGACUGAGACACGGCCCAGACUCCUACGGGAGGCAGCAGUGGGGAAUUUUGGACAAUGGGCGCAAGCCUGAUCCAGCCAUGCCGCGUGCAGGAUGAAGGCCUUCGGGUUGUAAACUGCUUUUGUACGGAACGAAAAGACUCUGGUUAAUACCUGGGGUCCAUGACGGUACCGUAAGAAUAGCACCGGCUAACUACGUGCCAGCAGCCGCGGUAAUACGUAGGGUGCGAGCGUUAAUCGGAAUUACUGGGCGUAAAGCGUGCGCAGGCGGUUAUGUAAAGACAGAUGGUGAAAUCCCCGGGCUCAACCUGGGGAACUUGCCUUUUGUGAACUGCAUAGCUAGAAGGUAACGGCACAGAGGGGGGACUGGCAAUUUCCCGCGUGUAGCAAGU
This 672-nucleotide ribosomal RNA is filed under the name uncultured bacterium. RNAcentral's name for it is "bacterial SSU rRNA". It matches the Rfam family "Bacterial small subunit ribosomal RNA", at positions 29 to 686 of the family's 1533-position model. The record is from RNAcentral.